GGAUGAUGUCAUCAUGUCUUCAACAUCUGGAAAACUCCAAUGCACACAUGUGAGAGUAUGCCAGAGAGAGAGACCUACCUGAAACCGGCCUGGGCAGCUGGAGAAGAAUGAGGGUGAGCAGACAUCUGGGCAAGCCGGAGUUUGGGAAAACUGCCAUCUUCGACCUUCCUGGAGCAGCAAGAUACUGGUGUGAGUCUGUCAGGAGCUUCAGCCUAGCUGAUGAAUGGACAGGAGAGAGCGAUGGGCUCUACAGACCCGCUCAGCAGUUCUUUCCAACUUGGAGUGCUCUGGUCAUUUGCAUCUGAAUCCUGCUGUGUCUUCUCUCCAGUGGAGAUUUUCAAACGAGGCUGCCAUCAGCACCCACUCACCACCCUAAGUUUGGUAAAUGACAUAUAAAACUUC
RNAcentral lists this long non-coding RNA (402 nucleotides) under Pan troglodytes (chimpanzee). Its description in RNAcentral is "long non-coding RNA NONPTRT015047". The record is from RNAcentral. Lineage: Eukaryota; Metazoa; Chordata; Mammalia; Primates; Hominidae.